CAGGCUAGGGGUUCAAUCAAAGCUACAGCCGCCGGCCUACACCACAGCCACAGCAACGCCAGAUCCGAACCAUGUCUGCGGCCCACACCACAGCUCAUGGCAACACCGGAUCCCUAACCCACUGAGUGAGCAAGGCCGCGGAUCAAACCUGCAACCUCAUGGUUCCUAGUCGGAUUCAUUUCCGCUGCACUGGAACAGGAACUCCAAGAGGGCUUCAUCUUCAAGAAGGUACAAGCACAGGUUUCUGAUAAACUUCAGACAAUACUGCUGAAUUUGGUAAAAAAUUAUAAAAUCCUACUGCUUUGCUGUUGGCCUCAAAAAGCAGAUAGUAAAAGGCUUAGUUAUUGAGUAAACUGGUGACUAUGGCUAUAAUGUUUGGUUUAUUUCAUCUGGAAUAUUACUGGUUUUGAUCUGUGUUUUCCAGGAAUAGGGGAGGGCUUCCCCUCAAGCUAUUUAUGACCCAGAGCAAUUGGGCAAAUGACACCUCUGUGAAUAAAAUUGAAAUAUUUUUCUUUUCUCUCUGCUUGGUCCCUCUAGAAAUUGGAGACUCUCGGGUUCUGAGCAGGUGUAUCAGGUGAAUAGGAAAGGCUGCCUCCUGGCAUGUGUGUUGAUCUUGCAAUUUUGGGGACUUCCGGAAAGGAGAAACCCACUAAGGCAGGAUCUGAUGGCAGACCCUUGGCAUGGCUUUUCCUGGGCUUGAGAAGCCUUUCGCGCAUUUAGUCUGAGACUCCUGAGGACUUAUACCAGGGUUAAUGUGGAGGAGCCUGUGUGGUCAGUGGAGCAGACUUAUUUUGGAAACAAAUUAGACUUGGUUUGGUCGUGUUCAGUGGAGAUGGGGGUAAUUUUAGAGAAAAAGAUUUUGUUUCAGUAGAUGCGAAAUUCUAGUUCUGUCUAUUGAAGUCUGUAUCUAUGAAAGCUAUUGUGUUAGCCACACUUUUGCCCUGAUGUGCAGAAGGAAAAGAAAAUUUUCUAGUGGAAUUAUCCCAGAGUAGCUACUCAUGACAUAGCACUGCUUGCUUUAGGUCUCCUGCUAAAAGCACACGUACAAUACUUGUGUCACUAUUGGGUAUAAAUGGUAAAAAGGUAUGGCCUAUAAAGCAUUUGCUCAUUAACAUACCUCUGAGCUUCUUCAGGAUACUUCAUCAUCCCCCCCCCCCACCUCUCCUACCCACAACGUGGAUUAACUAGACAGUUAUAAAGGAGGAGUUCCUGUCAUGGCACAGUGGUUAACGAAUCCAACUAGGAACCAUGAGGUUGUGGGUUCAAUCCCUGACCUUGCUCAGCAGGUUAAGGAUCUGGCAUUGCCGUGAGCUGUGGCGUAGAUCGCAGAUGCGGCUCGAAUCCCACGUUGCUGUGGCCCUGGCAUAGGCUGGGAGGCUACAGCUCUGAUUGACCCCUAGCCUGGAUCUCUCCAUAUGCUGCAGGAGUGGCCCUAGAAAAGGC
RNAcentral lists this long non-coding RNA (1443 nucleotides) under Sus scrofa (pig). RNAcentral's name for it is "lncRNA (ENSSSCG00005032226.1)". Lineage: Eukaryota; Metazoa; Chordata; Mammalia; Artiodactyla; Suidae. The record is from RNAcentral.